AUUUCCCCAGAUUUUCCGUCGUAGUGUCCGUUUGGACAGGGAACCUUGACAGAGUGAUGGUUUCAACCAUCCACGCAGUAAAGCUACACCUGGGUGCGUUUGAUGUCAUGU
This 111-nucleotide non-coding RNA is filed under the name Brevibacillus agri BAB-2500. RNAcentral describes it as "EGFOA RNA". It matches the Rfam family "EGFOA RNA". Lineage: Bacteria; Bacillati; Bacillota; Bacilli; Caryophanales; Paenibacillaceae. The record is from Rfam by way of RNAcentral.